AACACUCAUGAAAGAUAUUCCCCCCAUCUGAUAGAUAAGACUUACAGACAGGUGCAAAAACAAAUCCUCUUUUGCAACCCAGAACUCAUUGUUCAGUAUGAGUUUUGAUACAGAUAAGAAGGAACAUG
Hippopotamus amphibius kiboko is the source of this 128-nucleotide small nucleolar RNA. RefSeq annotates it as small nucleolar RNA SNORA40. The record is from RefSeq and is a predicted model, not a curated record. Lineage: Eukaryota; Metazoa; Chordata; Mammalia; Artiodactyla; Hippopotamidae. The transcript has a single exon.